GCGUUAGGCGGAAUCACUGGGCUUAAAGCGUGUGUAGGCGGACUUGUAAGUACCUUGUGAAAUCCCACGGCUCACCCGUGGAACUGCUGGGUAUACUGCGAGUCUUGAGCCACUUAGGGGCUGUCGGAACAGGCGGUGGAGCGGUGAAAUGCGUAGAUAUCGCCUGGAACGCCAAAGGUGAAAACAGACAGCUGGGAGUGUGCUGACGCUGAGACACGAAAGCCAG
Molecule: ribosomal RNA, 226 nt
Filed under: uncultured bacterium
Lineage: Bacteria
Description: partial 16S ribosomal RNA
Rfam family: Bacterial small subunit ribosomal RNA
Source: RNAcentral